UUAUGAACUUAAUCCACGUUGUCACCAUGAAUCGAGAGAAAAACGACUCUAGUAAUGUGAAUCUAGGAAUUAGUUUUGCGAAAACAGUGUUAUAGUUUGAGACUACUGAUGUCGCAUGCGAUGAAACUGUGACGUUACUAGAGCCACUUUUCUCUCGAUUCUUGGUGGAACAUUGGGUUGAACUCGUAA
RNAcentral lists this microRNA precursor (189 nucleotides) under Picea abies (Norway spruce). RNAcentral's name for it is "miR11472 stem-loop (pab-MIR11472)". The record is from miRBase by way of RNAcentral. Lineage: Eukaryota; Viridiplantae; Streptophyta; Pinopsida; Pinales; Pinaceae.